UCUGACCCGAAACGAAACCCAGAAACCGGCAACAGGGUCUGACCGGCGCUACUUCGUCCGGCCACCGAUCGACGACGGACGACCACCAUCUUCUUCGCCUCUUCGUCGCCUAUAGCCUGAUGCUCUUGGAUCGUCCAUGCACCUGACAAGGACGAAGAGCCGACGGUGAAGGUCCAAGCUUUCGCCGGCGAUUUCUGCAAGUUUCCGGCCACCAUUCAAGGCGCAUUCGGCGACUUCUCUGGCCUCUCUUGGUUCGCUCUUCAUCUCGUCUCCACAUGUUGAUGCUUGUCGUUCUAAACUGAAGCUAAAUUCCAAAGAACUGCUAGCUGGUGUUGGAUUCCCAGUUCGUCAUCAUCCCUGUUCAAUCGAGCUUGCUCGAAGUAGCUUUUCAAGGUAUAUUUCAACUCUCGAACCAAGUUUUGAUCUUGGUGUGAUACUUGGAGGUUAGAUGAACUGAAUGGGUCGUUUGGCUGAGAUUGUAUUACGCUUGUUCUAAGUUUGGUUGCUCAAGGUUGGGUUUGAAAA
Rosa rugosa (rugosa rose) is the source of this 525-nucleotide long non-coding RNA. RefSeq lists it as uncharacterized. The transcript has 2 exons. Lineage: Eukaryota; Viridiplantae; Streptophyta; Magnoliopsida; Rosales; Rosaceae. The record is from RefSeq and is a predicted model, not a curated record.